Molecule: ribosomal RNA, 483 nt
Filed under: uncultured bacterium
Lineage: Bacteria
Description: SSU rRNA
Rfam family: Bacterial small subunit ribosomal RNA
Source: RNAcentral
GGGAUAAACGCUGGCGGCGUGCCUAAUACAUGCAAGUCGAGCGGCAGCGCGGUCUUCGGACUGGCGGCGAGCGGCGGACGGCUGAGUAACACGUAGGAACGUACCCCAAAGUGAGGGAUAAGCACCAGAAAUGGUGUCUAAUACCGCAUGUGCUCUAAGGAGUAAAGCUUCGGCGCUUUGGGAACGGCCUACGCAUGAUUAGCUUGUUGGUGAGGUAAUGGCUCACCAAGGCGACGAUCAUUAGCUGGUCUGAGAGGAUGAUCAGCCAGACUGGGACUGAGAACGGCCCAGACUCCUACGGGAGGCAGCAGUAGGGAAUUUUCCACAAUGGGCGAAAGCCUGAUGGAGCAACGCCGCGUGCAGGAUGAAGGCCUUAGGGUUGUAAACCCCUUUCAGUUGGGACGAAGCUCCGCCGGUGAAUAGCCGGCUGGAGUGACGGUACCUUCAGAAGAAGCCCCGGCUAACGUACGUGCCAGCAGCCGC